Molecule: long non-coding RNA, 836 nt
Filed under: Gallus gallus (chicken)
Lineage: Eukaryota; Metazoa; Chordata; Aves; Galliformes; Phasianidae
Source: RNAcentral
GUGGGCUCCCACAGGAGUGAGCAGCAAGGUUCUCAAAACCUGUAGUAUUUUCAUCAAGACAACUUCAUCAUUCGCAUGAUCUGUACCCACAAAUCGGGCAUGAGUGACAGCAUCUGCCAUGUUCUCCAUUCCCUCAGCUGUGCCUUCAUGGCUGGGAUCUAUCAGUGCAUAUGAGAGGAACUUAUUCACAGAGGUGAGGGCCAACCCAGUUAUAGGACCUGUAGUGUCUUCAGAACGGAUCACUUCGAGGAAAGGUCGAAGAAAGACGUUGGGUUCAAUUUCAGAUAGCUCUGUUAUAUUAUUCAGCACUUCUUUCAAGACACUAAAGCUAUGCAGCAAGGGAUCCCUUUCUUCAUCCAGGUGUGUGUGAGUGCUCCACCGGGCAUUACGCUUGAUGGCUCCCACCACUACAUUGAUUUCGCCUUGUACAAUGUAAAUGUUUUUAUCCACCAUCUUGACAACCCCCCGCAUCCAAAAUGGCGGCGCCUGCUCCCCGCGGCGGCGGCCGCUUCACACAUCGGUCGGGCGGGCGGCGCCGCGAGCGGGGGCUCGGCCCGGCCCUGCCACUGGCCGCCCGCCCCUUCCUCCCGGCGGCGGCGGGCGAGGCGGCCGCGCACGGGGUCCUCCCGUCCACAGGCAAACGGAACCGGCUCGGCUACCCUCGCACUGACGUGGAAACGGGCGCACCCGAACCCGCUGCCUGGUUACUGUGCCGACGGACAGCCCGCGGAGCCAACCCCCGUGCGGCGUGGCGGCCGGCUCGCCGGGCUGCCCAAUAGAAUCGCGGACCGAAGCCGGAGGAGGCGGGUUAUCCAGUGACAAGCCAAAGAGAACCA